RNAcentral lists this ribosomal RNA (480 nucleotides) under uncultured bacterium. RNAcentral describes it as "partial 16S ribosomal RNA". It matches the Rfam family "Bacterial small subunit ribosomal RNA", at positions 28 to 522 of the family's 1533-position model. The record is from RNAcentral.
GACGAACGCUGGCGGCGUGCUUAACACAUGCAAGUCGAACGCUGAAGCCCUUCGGGGUGGAUGAGUGGCGAACGGGUGAGUAACACGUGGGUAAUCUGCCCUGCACUCUGGGAUAAGCCUUGGAAACGGGGUCUAAUACCGGAUAGGACACAUCGCCGCAUGGUGCGUGUGUGGAAAGUUCCGGCGGUGCAGGUUGAGCCCGCGGCCUAUCAGCUUGUUGGUGGGGUGAUGGCCUACCAAGGCGACGACGGGUAGCCGGCCUGAGAGGGUGACCGGCCACACUGGGACUGAGACACGGCCCAGACUCCUACGGGAGGCAGCAGUGGGGAAUCUUGCGCAAUGGGCGAAAGCCUGACGCAGCAACGCCGCGUGGGGGAUGACGGCCUUCGGGUUGUAAACCUCUUUCGACCGGGACGAAGGAUUCGUUUGACGGUACCGGUAGAAGAAGCACCGGCUAACUACGUGCCAGCCGCCGCAGAA